This 334-nucleotide ribosomal RNA is filed under the name Allothunnus fallai (slender tuna). RNAcentral describes it as "partial 16S ribosomal RNA". It matches the Rfam family "Bacterial large subunit ribosomal RNA", at positions 2050 to 2535 of the family's 2925-position model. The record is from RNAcentral. Lineage: Eukaryota; Metazoa; Chordata; Actinopteri; Scombriformes; Scombridae.
CCCGUGCAGAAGCGGGGAUACACCCAUAAGACGAGAAGACCCUAUGGAGCUUUAGACACCAAGGCAUAUCAUGUCAAACACCCCUAAACAAAGGACUAAACCAAAUGAACUAUGCCCCCAUGUCUUUGGUUGGGGCGACCGCGGGGAAAUAAAAAACCCCCACGUGGAAUGGGAGCACUGCCUCCUACAACCAAGAGCUGCAGCUCUAAUUAACAGAAUUUCUGACCAAUAAGAUCCGGCAAUGCCGAUCAACGGACCGAGUUACCCUAGGGAUAACAGCGCAAUCCCCUUUUAGAGCCCAUAUCGACAAGGGGGUUUACGACCUCGAUGUUGG